ACUAUUUGGGGUUUGCAUUUUGCAGGUUUUUAUUUGUGUGCGUUCAAAUACACUUUACAACAUGGCUGGAUUUUUUUCUCAUGUAUUUUAACAAGCCAACACUCAGGCACUUUUUAAAAAUAUUUGAGUGUGAAACAAACCCUGAAAAAGUGUAGAUGGGCCAUUUAUCAAAAAAAGCACAUCUUGAAAAGUUUUAGAUAUAUGAAGCAAAAAUAUCCCAGCACUUAUUCUAUGUGUCAAAACUUUGGACCAUAAAACUUAAAAAAACAAUGCUGUGGUCGCCAAGUCUGACAAAAAACCACAGACCGAGCAGGUGUAUCAUUACCUCAACAUCCUCGUUUGGUGUGGCAUUUGUUCUGCAUGCUAUUUACCUCAAGACCUUCUGUGAGGCAACAGUGUUAACCACUGCACCACCAUGCUGCCAUUUACCACCAUUUAUGCAAUCCAUAUGAGUCCUGCUUUACUUAGUGACCUCUGUCCUCCUGUUGCAGGUGUGUGUGUGCUGCUGCUGUCUGCACCGACUGUUUCUGCAGUGUCUCUGAGUUGUGUUGAUGAUGGACAGACAGCUGAUGGAUGGACAGUGAAGAGGACCAGAGGAGGACUCACUGAGGACUGUGGAGCAGCUGCAGGCUUUGGGAGGCUUCUUGGUUCCUCCUGUGUUCUGGAUCGCUCCAUCUCCUCUGAUGGAAGUUACUUCUGUGAGAACCCAUCUGGACAGCAGAGUGAUAAAUUGUCCAUCAGUGUUUCAGGUAGAGACAGGGAGAUGUUCCAGCGGUGUCUCUGUGCAGAUGUUUCCAGAGGUUGGAUGUAACAUUACUGUUUUUCCAAAGACAUUGUGUCAUGCUCUGUUUGUGUUUCUGUUGGUUAGAUAAAGGUGUGAUCCUGGAGAUUCCUGCACUUCCUGUGAGGACAGGAAGUAACAUGACUUUGUGUUGCAGACGGAGGAAUGGUGGCACAGUCAGAGCAUAUUUCUUCAUUAAUGGAAGUCAUGUUGGGUCUGAAUCUAAAUCAGAGCUCAUCAUCACAAACGUCCAGCAGUCUGAUGAAGGUCUCUACUCAUGUUCUACUGACACAUUUGGAGAAUCUCAUCAGAGCAUUCUGUGGGUCAGAGGUCAGAACACUGACAUCACUUCUGUUUUAAUGACAAGCACUCACCUGCUGACCUGAUAAUGAACUGACUGAACCAUCUUCAUCCUCACCACAGCCUGCACCUCUCCUGUAAACUCUCCCGAUACUUCUGCAUGUCCGUGUACUGGGACAGCAUCUCCUACUCUUUCCUCCUCCUCCUCCAUCGUUGCCAUGAUAGCCGGUCUGGUUUCUGUGAUUCUUCUGGUUCUAGUUCUGCUUGGAGCUCUGCUCCUCUAUAGGAAAUUAAAAGGUAUAAAGUCUUUUAGAUUUGACAGUUUGCAGUCAAAUCAGUGUGGAUCAUAUAAGAGAGUCUAGAGUGCAGCAGUGUCACAUUCCUAAACCGUCCUCUGAAAGGCAGUGGGAAACCAUUUUAACAGUGCUUCAGAUGCUUUUUCAUAAUGAUGAUGAUAAUAAUAAUAAUAAUAAUAAUAAUAAUAAUAAUAAUAAUAAUAAUAAUAAUGAUAAAAAUGAUGUGACAGCUGUUUCUCCUCUACCAUCACGAUGAGUGCCCAGGCCUAUAAAAGGGUUCACUCUGUUAAGUUGUUAGAGUUUAAACCAGUGCAGGACCAGAGUACUGUUUAGUUUACUUGCUCUUGUACUUUAAGAAGUAAGUGAUUAAUUAAUUAAUCUUUAGCUGAGUGUUAAUGUCCAAUCUGGGCUC
This 1789-nucleotide long non-coding RNA is filed under the name Oreochromis niloticus (Nile tilapia). RNAcentral describes it as "lncRNA (ENSONIG00000041156.1)". The record is from RNAcentral. Lineage: Eukaryota; Metazoa; Chordata; Actinopteri; Cichliformes; Cichlidae.